UUGCUGCUUCGCUGACGAGUGGCGGACGGGUGAGUAAUGUCUGGGAAACUGCCUGAUGGAGGGGGAUAACUACUGGAAACGGUGGCUAAUACCGCAUAACGUCGCAAGACCAAAGAGGGGGACCUUCGGGCCUCUUGCCAUCAGAUGUGCCCAGAUGGGAUUAGCUAGUUGGUGAGGUAACGGCUCACCAAGGCGACGAUCCCUAGCUGGUCUGAGAGGAUGACCAGCCACACUGGAACUGAGACACGGUCCAGACUCCUACGGGAGGCAGCAGUGGGGAAUAUUGCACAAUGGGCGCAAGCCUGAUGCAGCCAUGCCGCGUGUAUGAAGAAGGCCUUCGGGUUGUAAAGUACUUUCAGCGGGGAGGAAGGUGUUGUGGUUAAUAACCGCAGCAAUUGACGUUACCCGCAGAAGAAGCACCGGCUAACUCCGUGCCAGCAGCCGCGGUAAUACGGAGGGUGCAAGCGUUAAUCGGAAUUACUGGGCGUAAAGCGCACGCAGGCGGUCUGUCAAGUCGGAUGUGAAAUCCCCGGGCUCAACCUGGGAACUGCAUUCGAAACUGGCAGGCUUGAGUCUUGUAGAGGGGGGUAGAAUUCCAGGUGUAGCGGUGAAAUGCGUAGAGAUCUGGAGGAAUACCGGUGGCGAAGGCGGCCCCCUGGACAAAGACUGACGCUCAGGUGCGAAAGCGUGGGGAGCAAACAGGAUUAGAUACCCUGGUAGUCCACGCCGUAAACGAUGUCUACUUGGAGGUUGUGCCCUUGAGGCGUGGCUUCCGGAGCUAACGCGUUAAGUAGACCGCCUGGGGAGUACGGCCGCAAGGUUAAAACUCAAAUGAAUUGACGGGGGCCCGCACAAGCGGUGGAGCAUGUGGUUUAAUUCGAUGCAACGCGAAGAACCUUACCUGGUCUUGACAUCCACAGAACUUUCCAGAGAUGGAUUGGUGCCUUCGGGAACUGUGAGACAGGUGCUGCAUGGCUGUCGUCAGCUCGUGUUGUGAAAUGUUGGGUUAAGUCCCGCAACGAGCGCAAC
Molecule: ribosomal RNA, 1029 nt
Filed under: Salmonella enterica
Lineage: Bacteria; Pseudomonadati; Pseudomonadota; Gammaproteobacteria; Enterobacterales; Enterobacteriaceae
Description: bacterial SSU rRNA
Rfam family: Bacterial small subunit ribosomal RNA
Source: RNAcentral